AUACCCUUAGCUCAGUUGGUUAGAGCAGACAGCUCAUAACCGUCCGGUCGUAGGUUCGAGUCCUACAGGGUACA
This 74-nucleotide transfer RNA is filed under the name Enterococcus faecium. Its description in RNAcentral is "tRNA-Ile". It matches the Rfam family "tRNA". From Rfam's summary of the family: Transfer RNA (tRNA) molecules are approximately 80 nucleotides in length. Their secondary structure includes four short double-helical elements and three loops (D, anti-codon, and T loops). RNAcentral also lists the same sequence under 1 other name. The record is from RNAcentral. Lineage: Bacteria; Bacillati; Bacillota; Bacilli; Lactobacillales; Enterococcaceae.